RNAcentral lists this ribosomal RNA (1011 nucleotides) under human gut metagenome. Its description in RNAcentral is "bacterial LSU rRNA". It matches the Rfam family "Bacterial large subunit ribosomal RNA", at positions 1914 to 2925 of the family's 2925-position model. The record is from RNAcentral.
GAAGCCCCAGUAAACGGCGGCCGUAACUAUAACGGUCCUAAGGUAGCGAAAUUCCUUGUCGGGUAAGUUCCGACCUGCACGAAUGGCGUAACGAUCUCCACACUGUCUCGGCCAGAGACUCGGUGAAAUUGCAGUCGCGGUGAAAAUUCCGUGUACCCGCAGAAAGACGGAAAGACCCUGUGCACCUUUACUAUAGCUUGACAUUGGAUUUUGGGCCUGCAUGUGUAGGAUAGGUGGGAGGCUGUGAACCCUGUACGCCAGUAUGGGGGGAGCCAUCCUUGAAAUACCACCCUUGCAUGUUUAAGAUCCUAACUUCUUCCGGUUAUCCCGGAGAAAGACAGUGUCUGGCGGGUAGUUUGACUGGGGCGGUCGCCUCCUAAAGUGUAACGGAGGCAUGCAAAGGUUCCCUCAGCCUGAUCGGAAACCAGGCGCUGAGUGCAAACGCAUAAGGGAGCUUGACUGUAAGAGAGACAUCUCGAACAGGAACGAAAGUUGGCGUUAGUGAUCCGGUGGUCCCGAAUGGAAGGGCCAUCGCUCAUUGGAUAAAAGGUACGCCGGGGAUAACAGGCUGAUCGCAUCCAAGAGUUCACAUCGACGAUGCGGUUUGGCACCUCGAUGUCGGCUCAUCACAUCCUGGGGCUGAAGCAGGUCCCAAGGGUACGGCUGUUCGCCGUUUAAAGUGGUACGCGAGCUGGGUUUAAAACGUCGUGAGACAGUUUGGUCCCUAUCUUCUGUGGGCGAAGGAGAAUUGAGAGGGCCUGUCCCUAGUACGAGAGGACCGGGAUGGACGCACCCCUGGUGAUCCUGUUGUCGCGCCAGCGGCAUAGCAGGGUAGCUAUGUGCGGAAGGGAUAACCGCUGAAAGCAUCUAAGCGGGAAGCCUGCCUCAAGAUAAGUUCUCCCCUCGAAAGAGCUGAAGGGCCCGGGUAGACUACCCGGUCGAUAGGCUGGAGGUGUAAGCGCGGCGACGUGCUCAGCUGACCAGUACUAAUAGCCCGAGCGGCUUAUUUUU